GAGCGAUUUACUUCGGUAAAGAGCGGCGGACGGGUGAGUAACGCGUGGGUAACCUGCCCUGUACACACGGAUAACAUACCGAAAGGUAUGCUAAUACGAGAUAAUAUACUUUUAUCGCAUGGUAGAAGUAUCAAAGCUCUGGCGGUACAGGAUGGACCCGCGUCUGAUUAGCUAGUUGGUAAGGUAACGGCUUACCAAGGCGACGAUCAGUAGCCGACCUGAGAGGGUGAUCGGCCACAUUGGAACUGAGACACGGUCCAAACUCCUACGGGAGGCAGCAGUGGGGAAUAUUGCACAAUGGGCGAAAGCCUGAUGCAGCAACGCCGCGUGAGCGAUGAAGGCCUUCGGGUCGUAAAGCUCUGUCCUCAAGGAAGAUAAUGACGGUACUUGAGGAGGAAGCCCCGGCUAACUACGUGCCAGCAGCCGCGGUAAUACGUAGGGGGCUAGCGUUAUCCGGAAUUACUGGGCGUAAAGGGUGCGUAGGUGGUUUCUUAAGUCAGAGGUGAAAGGCUACGGCUCAACCGUAGUAAGCCUUUGAAACUGGGAAACUUGAGUGCAGGAGAGGAGAGUGGAAUUCCUAGUGUAGCGGU
Molecule: ribosomal RNA, 590 nt
Filed under: uncultured Clostridium sp.
Lineage: Bacteria; Bacillati; Bacillota; Clostridia; Eubacteriales; Clostridiaceae
Description: bacterial SSU rRNA
Rfam family: Bacterial small subunit ribosomal RNA
Source: RNAcentral